UAUCUCCCGGUUUUUUAUUAUAUGUUCGAGAUUGAAAUACGAAAUGCUAUUGUUUUUGCCUAUGAUGUAUAUGCUUGACAUGUUUUGCAUUUAGUUUUUUGAUGGACAUGGACUCAGAUUACGGAUAUUACUAUAGGUUGUAGUCGGUUGGUAUUUAGGGUCAGUAUUAGAUCAUAUUUCCUAUCCAUAGGUCAAUCUCUUUUGUUCCUGUUCUGCUUCAAUAUCAGAAUUUCUCGUGAUAGUAUUGUAGCACUCCUUUUCUUUCCUAGUUUUGGUGAAUGAGGUUCGUUUCCCCCCAUUUUAUAUGGCUUUAUAUGGACCUAAAAAGACCUCUUAAGUUCGAUAUUCAGCCCUUUGGCCGUUGCAGUGUUUGAGGUUCUCGGGAUAUUCUCGGUUUGCUAUUUGAAGGAAGUGUGUUUAACAACAUGAUUUGAGUAACAAAGUUCGAAGAGACCUCUUUGCAUAACUUUCUUGUUAUUGCACUUUUUCUUUCUUAAAAUCAUGUACUUAGUGAACCAAAUAUAUACAGUUUUUAUAACCCCUAGCUGCUGUUUCUUGUAUGAGACAAAAAAAAAAGUAUAGUAGCAGAAAUUUUUUUCUUUAUUAGAUAGAUAAUGGAAACAACAACAUUGCAGAGAGUGUUUAUAUUUUGGAUUUCCACAUUUUAACCCAAUUGCAUUGAGCUUCUUCCAAUCCCAGCAAAGAGCCCUUCUUCUUCGGGUCUUAACUAAGCAAUCCUAAGCAUUGAUGCCCCAAAUGUAAUGAACGUAGUCAAGAAUGGCAGCCACAAUGGCACAUCCCACAAGUUUCUCUCUUUCGCUACACCAAAUAGCGUUUUCUUUCAUGGUAGCCUGUGGUGUGCCGGGAAAUCCUUCGGCGUUGGCCUGAAGUUUCCGUGUUGAUGAGGGUUGGUUUUAUUUCUGGGUUUUGAUGAUUGUAGGAAGGAUUGUUGGGGAUAUUGAAUCCCAUGAAGAAAGCUUUGGAAGGUAUUGUAAGUUAUACUAGUGAAGUGCAGAAUGAAGAUAAUAUUUUUCUUUCAAAAUUAUAUAGUAAUCUUAUAUCAAUGUAAAA
Long non-coding RNA from Gossypium arboreum, 1071 nucleotides. RefSeq lists it as uncharacterized. Lineage: Eukaryota; Viridiplantae; Streptophyta; Magnoliopsida; Malvales; Malvaceae. The transcript has 2 exons. The record is from RefSeq and is a predicted model, not a curated record.